RNAcentral lists this ribosomal RNA (484 nucleotides) under uncultured bacterium. RNAcentral describes it as "partial 16S ribosomal RNA". It matches the Rfam family "Bacterial small subunit ribosomal RNA", at positions 30 to 507 of the family's 1533-position model. The record is from RNAcentral.
AUUGAACGCUGGCGGCAGGCCUAACACAUGCAAGUCGAGCGGAUGAAGGGAGCUUGCUCCUGGACUCAGCGGCGGACGGGUGAGUAAUGCCUAGGAAUCUGCCUGGUAGUGGGGGAUAACGUCCGGAAACGGGCGCUAAUACCGCAUACGUCCUGAGGGAGAAAGUGGGGGAUCUUCGGACCUCACGCUAUCAGAUGAGCCUAGGUCGGAUUAGCUAGUUGGUGGGGUAAAGGCCUACCAAGGCGACGAUCCGUAACUGGUCUGAGAGGAUGAUCAGUCACACUGGAACUGAGACACGGUCCAGACUCCUACGGGAGGCAGCAGUGGGGAAUAUUGGACAAUGGGCGAAAGCCUGAUCCAGCCAUGCCGCGUGUGUGAAGAAGGUCUUCGGAUUGUAAAGCACUUUAAGCUGGGAGGAAGGGCAGUAAGUUAAUACCUUGCUGUUUUGACGUUACCAACAGAAUAAGCACCGGCUAACUUCGUG